UCUGUAAAGUUCCUUCGACGAGUCGAGUAGUUUGGGAAUGCUGCUCUAAAUGGGAGGUAUAUGUCUUCUAAAGCUAAAUACCGGCCAGAGACCGAUAGCGCACAAGUAGAGUGAUCGAAAGAUGAAAAGCACUUUGAAAAGAGAGUUAAAAAGUACGUGAAAUUGUUGAAAGGGAAGCGUUUAUGACCAGACUUGGGCUUGGUUAAUCAUCUGGGGUUCUCCCCAGUGCACUUUUCCAGUCCAGGCCAGCAUCAGUUUUCCCCGGGGGAUAAAGACUUCGGGAAUGUGGCUCUCUUCGGGGAGUGUUAUAGCCCGUUGUGUAAUACCCUGGGGGGGACUGAGGUUCGCGCAUCUGCAAGGAUGCUGGCGUAAUGGUCAUCAACGACCCGUCUUGAAACACGGACCAAGGAGUCGUCUUCGUAUGCGAGUGUUCGGGUGUCAAACCCCUACGCGUAAUGAAAGUGAACGCAGGUGAGAGCUUCGGCGCAUCAUCGACCGAUCCUGAUGUUCUCGGAUGGAUUUGAGUAAGAGCAUACGGGGCCGGACCCGAAAGAAGGUGAACUAUGCCUGUAUAGGGUGAAGCCAGAGGAAACUCUGGUGGAGGCUCGCAGCGGUUCUGACGUGCAAAU
This 629-nucleotide ribosomal RNA is filed under the name Fusarium fujikuroi. RNAcentral describes it as "eukaryotic LSU rRNA". It matches the Rfam family "Eukaryotic large subunit ribosomal RNA", at positions 243 to 898 of the family's 3401-position model. RNAcentral also lists the same sequence under 7 other names. The record is from RNAcentral. Lineage: Eukaryota; Fungi; Ascomycota; Sordariomycetes; Hypocreales; Nectriaceae.